CCAUCCUGGCGAUCUGAGUAUAAAUAGUGCCCACUUUGAGUUUUCACUGCCAUAUCGUUACUGCAACUUGGAACAAACCGCGAUGAUGUUUAAACCUACUAUACUGACGUUGGGGCUGCUCUUGUGUGCUUUCCUGGCAUACGCCUCUGCCCGGCCCGAUUCAGCGCCACCACUUCUGUUGGCAAGUCUUUCAGGAACAUUAACAAAGCCAGAAUAAAACACAAAUAAGCAAAUCGGAAUAAAUUCUUUCAAAA
This is a long non-coding RNA of Ostrinia nubilalis (European corn borer), 254 nucleotides long. RefSeq lists it as uncharacterized. Lineage: Eukaryota; Metazoa; Arthropoda; Insecta; Lepidoptera; Crambidae. The record is from RefSeq and is a predicted model, not a curated record. The transcript is spliced from 2 exons.